GCUGGGUGUGUUGGUGCACAUCCGUAAUCCCAGCUACUCUGGAGGCUGAGGCAGGAGGAUCGCAAGUUUGAGGCCAGCUUCAGCAAUUUAGUGAGACCCUAAGCAACUUAGUGAGACCCUGUCUCAA
RNAcentral lists this small RNA (127 nucleotides) under Marmota monax (woodchuck). Lineage: Eukaryota; Metazoa; Chordata; Mammalia; Rodentia; Sciuridae. The record is from RNAcentral.